AGCGAACGUUAGCGGCGGGCCUAACACAUGCAAGUCGAACGCGAAAGGUCUUCGGACUGAGUAGAGUGGCGCACGGGUGAGUAACACGUAGGUAAUCUACCCUUUGGCGGGGGAUAACGUUCCGAAAGGAGCGCUAAUACCGCAUAAGACCACGGAGUCUCCGGACGCUGUGGGAAAAGGUGGCCUCUUCUUGAAAGCUACCACCGAAGGAUGAGCCUGCGUCCCAUCAGCUAGUUGGUAAGGUAAUGGCUUACCAAGGCGAAGACGGGUAGCUGGUUUGAGAGAAUGAUCAGCCACACUGGCACUGGAACACGGGCCAGACUCCUACGGGAGGCAGCAGUGAGGAAUAUUGGGCAAUGGGCGAAAGCCUGACCCAGCCACGCCGCGUGAGUGAUGAAGGCCCUCGGGUCGUAAAGCUCUGUGGAGAGGGACGAAAACCCUGGUUUCAAAUAGGCUCCAGGCUUGACGGUACCUCUUUAGCAAGCACCGGCUAACUCUGUGCCAGCAGCC
Molecule: ribosomal RNA, 510 nt
Filed under: uncultured bacterium
Lineage: Bacteria
Description: bacterial SSU rRNA
Rfam family: Bacterial small subunit ribosomal RNA
Source: RNAcentral